GCAUGGCUGUCGUCAGCUCGUGUCGUGAGAUGUUGGGUUAAGUCCCGCAACGAGCGCAACCCUUGCCUUUAGUUGCCAGCAGUUCGGCUGGGCACUCUAAGGGACUGCCGGUGUUAAACCGGAGGAGUGGGGAUGACGUCAAGUCCUCAUGGCCUUUAUGACCAGGGCUACACACGUACUACAAUGGCCGAUACAAAGGGCAGCGACACUGCGAGGUGAAGCCAAUCCCGUAAAAUCGGUCUCAGUCCGGAUUGGAGUCUGCAACUCGACUCCAUGAAGUUGGAAUCGCUAGUAAUCGUGGAUCAGCAUGCCACGGUGAAUACGUUCCCGGGCCUU
RNAcentral lists this ribosomal RNA (336 nucleotides) under uncultured Desulfobulbus sp. RNAcentral describes it as "bacterial SSU rRNA". It matches the Rfam family "Bacterial small subunit ribosomal RNA", at positions 1043 to 1382 of the family's 1533-position model. The record is from RNAcentral. Lineage: Bacteria; Pseudomonadati; Thermodesulfobacteriota; Desulfobulbia; Desulfobulbales; Desulfobulbaceae.